CCAAAAGGACUCAAAGCCUAGCUGUUUUUUUCUGUGGUUAAGGGUUGCCUGGGUAGAAUCCCUGCCCCCCUUUCACAGAUAUAAUACUGUUAUAUAUAUGUAUAAGAGAGUUUAUUACUCUAAAUGGAAACACCACUGUGAGAGUUUUCUGCCACAGACGGAAGCAUCAUUUAUUCUUUGUUCACACCUAACAUAAAAAUCCAACAUCAAGAUCCAAUUAGUACCUCCAGAGGCAGAGGAGAGAGGAUGAAGGGACAGCAGAAGAUGUGAAAGGAUGAUGGAGACGCUGAUUCAGCUUUACUCGUCUGUGUCCGUGAUCAAAAAAAGAAGUGGCUUGCAACAGCUUCCCUGACUGGUUGACUACAGGUAAUCUCAAGACCUCCAUGCUGCUGCCUGCCCUACCAGGGGGUGAACUGCAUGUGCCCCUCUGCCAUCAUGGCUGACUGCUGGUGAUGGUUCCUACAGAUGGCCUGCUGCCUGAAGAUGCAUGGAAGUGGCAGCGACAGUCACAAGGAUAUGAUAUUGAUGUAUCAUCAGAGCUCCUCAUCAACAGCUUCAGGACAGCAGCAACAACAACAACAGAAGGACAGAGGAGAAGAGUCAGCUGGAGCACCGUGGCGAACACACCAAACCAUUUUCCGAGAGAGUUCUUUCUC
Long non-coding RNA from Perca fluviatilis (European perch), 656 nucleotides. RefSeq lists it as uncharacterized. The transcript has 3 exons. NCBI's taxonomy places the organism in Eukaryota, Metazoa, Chordata, Actinopteri, Perciformes, Percidae. The record is from RefSeq and is a predicted model, not a curated record.